RNAcentral lists this ribosomal RNA (322 nucleotides) under uncultured eukaryote. Its description in RNAcentral is "partial 18S ribosomal RNA". It matches the Rfam family "Eukaryotic small subunit ribosomal RNA", at positions 1470 to 1796 of the family's 1831-position model. The record is from RNAcentral.
CCCUUAGAUGUUCUGGGCCGCACGCGUGCUACACUGAGUGGAUCAGCGGGUCAGGUUGCGCGAAAGUGUUUCCUAAUCUUUAAAUCCGCUCGUGAUGGGGAUUGACGGUUGCAAUUUUCCGUCAUGAACGAGGAAUACCUUGUAAGCGCGGGUCAUCAUCCCGCGCUGAAUACGUCCCUGCCCUUUGUACACACCGCCCGUCGCUCCUACCGAUUGAGUGGUCCGAUGAGGCUUUGGGAUCUGAGCGGAAAGAGCGUUUCGCUGUUUCUGCCCGGAAAACUCAGUCGAACCUUAUCAUUUAGAGGAAGGAGAAGUCGUAACA